Molecule: ribosomal RNA, 498 nt
Filed under: uncultured bacterium
Lineage: Bacteria
Description: partial 16S ribosomal RNA
Rfam family: Bacterial small subunit ribosomal RNA
Source: RNAcentral
AUUGAACGCUGGCGGCGUGCCUUACACAUGCAAGUCGAACGGUAACAGGUCUUCGGAUGCUGACGAGUGGCGAACGGGUGCGUAAUACAUCGGAACGUGCCUAGUAGUGGGGGAUAACUACUCGAAAGAGUGGCUAAUACCGCAUGAGAUCUACGGAUGAAAGCAGGGGAUCGCAAGACCUUGUGCUACUAGAGCGGCCGAUGGCAGAUUAGGUAGUUGGUGGGAUAAAAGCUUACCAAGCCGACGAUCUGUAGCUGGUCUGAGAGGACGAUCAGCCACACUGGGACUGAGACACGGCCCAGACUCCUACGGGAGGCAGCAGUGGGGAAUUUUGGACAAUGGGCGCAAGCCUGAUCCAGCAAUGCCGCGUGCAGGAUGAAGGCCUUCGGGUUGUAAACUGCUUUUGUACGGAACGAAAAGCCCCGGGUUAAUACCCUGGGGUCAUGACGGUACCGUAAGAAUAAGCACCGGCUAACUACGUGCCAGCCGCCGCCGUAA